UGUCUUGUAAUUGGAAUGAUGGGAAUUUAAACCUCUUCCAGAGUAUCAAUUGGAGGGCAAGUCUGGUGCCAGCAGCCGCGGUAAUUCCAGCUCCAAUAGCGUAUAUUAAAAUUGUUGCAGUUAAAAAGCUCGUAGUUGAAUUUCUGCUGCAUUGCUUUUGCUCCUUUACGAGUCUUUGCAUUGUGGCUUAUUUCGGACUUUGUUUUACAAUGUCCGGAUGUUUACUUUGAGAAAAUUAGAGUGCUCAAAGCAGGCUUUCGCCUUGAAUAGUUUAGCAUGGAAUAAUAAAGUAGGACUUUGGUUCUAUUUUGUUGGUUUUAGGUACCAAAGUAAUGGUUAAUAGGAACAGUUGGGGGCAUUCGUAUUUAACUGUCAGAGGUGAAAUUCUUAGAUUUGUUAAAGACGAACUACUGCGAAAGCAUUUGCCAAGGAUGUUUUCAUUAAUCAAGAACGAAAGUUAGGGGAUCGAAGACGAUCAGAUACCGUCGUAGUCCUAACCAUAAACUA
Molecule: ribosomal RNA, 507 nt
Filed under: Theileria ovis
Lineage: Eukaryota; Apicomplexa; Aconoidasida; Piroplasmida; Theileriidae
Description: SSU rRNA
Rfam family: Eukaryotic small subunit ribosomal RNA
Source: RNAcentral